Molecule: long non-coding RNA, 4456 nt
Organism: Dreissena polymorpha
Lineage: Eukaryota; Metazoa; Mollusca; Bivalvia; Myida; Dreissenidae
Exons: 8
Source: RefSeq, a predicted model, not a curated record
AGUAAGCUGGCUAAUCUUGCUACUCAUCAGGAUGGAGUGAGGUACCCAUGGUCAGUCUGCUACAGCAGCACCACAUCCUCCAUCAUUGUGGGACAGUGGGGGGACAACAUCCUGGUGUUCCGAGUGGAAUAGUGUGAACAUUCGCUGCUGAGUCAACGAUGCUGAGGAUGUGGUGGACAAGGAUGACCUGAAUACGCAGAAGCAACUGCUAAGCACAGAAGACAAAGGAGUAGUGAAAGGCUCAGCCAAAUCAAAGCCCAGCGAUGUGAGGGUGACACAGCCUUUCAAGUCCUCGUAUUGCAACAUGAAGGACAUUUAAGCUGAAACUAACAAGGGAGAGAACUGUAGAUCUGCACCAGCACAGAGCACCAGCAUUGAUAUCGAGUUGGCCCAGCAACCACACCAGUUCCGCCUGCAGAAGCCCCAGUCCAGAUUGACCCUCCCCCUCCAUUGACUUCUAACUCCUCCCCCUUGACCUCCUGCCUCAAAAAGUCAGCAUCGUUGAACAACUCUGUUCUGCAGGAAAUUCUUAGGGUGAUUCUGUUCUGACAAACGCAAUGCCCACGUCACGUUUUCCAAACAUAAGCCUGGGUAGUUUUGUUAAGCUAGAGUUCCGCGUGGGCCUAAAAGGGACGAGUGUUACAGACACGAAAAGUUAUAGCAGUAGUUAUGGUAACGCUAACAGUCAGUUGUUGCUGUUGGACAUCACAACAAAUAUCAUGAAGAAUAAAAAGUUCAAUCACUUGUUCCAAUCUUUAUGGGACAAACAGAAAUUGAACAGGAGAGAAUCAAGGAACAAUAAAAGCGUGAGCUUUCCUAGUGGCAUACGUCUGCUGUUGAUAGUUUGGACAACAGUAGGGUUACGGACUGCCCCAGAUUGUCCUCUCAGCGGCCAAAAUAUCAUAAUAGAACAGACUUUUGGCAAUGUUACUGACAAAAAAAGGCAAAAAUGACUUGGUUGUGAACACCAAGAGCGCGAUACAUCCAUGCUGACACAGAAAGGCGGUAAUAACUUGGUUUUGAAAACCCAGAGCACAAUACAUCCAUGCUGACACAGAAAGGAAGUAAUGACUUGGUUGUGAACACCCAGAGCACGAUACAUCCAUGCUGACACAGAAAAUAAGUAAUGGCUUGGUUGUGAACACCCAGAGCAAGAUAUAUCCAUGCUGUUACAGAAAGGCAGUAAUGACUAUGCUGUGAACACCCAGAGCACAAUACAUCCAUGCUGACACAGAAAGGCAGUAAUGACUUGGCUGUAAACACAGAGCACAAUACAUCCAUGCUGACACAGAAAGGCAGUUAUGACUUGGUUGUGAACACAGAGCAUAAUACAUCCUUGUUGACACAGAAAGGCAGUAGUGACUUUGCUGUGAACUCAGAGCACGAUACAUCCAUGCUGACACAGAAAGGCAGUAAAGACUUGGUUGUAAACACCCAGAGCACAAUACAUCCAUGCUGACACAGACAGGCAGUAAAGACUUUGUUGUAAACACUAAGAGAUCCAUACAUCCAUGGGGUGUGCCACAGCCGCAAAUUUCGCCCACUAUUGUGAACAAGGUUCUUAAAGUGAACACGUCUGGUUUUGUUAUGAGCACAUAGCACUCCAAGCCCAAAAGGCCUCGCAUUAAAUUGAUGCAAGAGAAGGCUUUGGAAAAUAACAGCAGUUUUGUUGUGUGGUCCAGUACGCCCUUCGACUCUCAACCUGAAGAAAGCAGAACUCAAACUCGUCUCUUAGCAAUAUCAGCAAGGCUAGCAUGUCAUCUCAGCUUCUUGAACUUCAGUGAACUUUACUAGCAAACAUGACUAACGUCAUUGAAAUGAAAGUCGAUGACAACCCCCUUCUUGCACAAAUACUACAAUUGCUUAAGAAAUUCAGCACGGAGACGUCUUGCGUCAGACUACCAAGCCUCCUAUCAAUAUCUUCUCCCAUGUUGGCUACAUCAACACUUCCAACAGCAGAGCCUUGGUGAGUUCGACUUCCGUCUCGGCAUCGAUGUCGCUUAGCAACAAUUGGAUGAUUGGGUCGACAAAUUAGGCCGGACAAGUUGCUCGAACUGAAACGAUCUGAUUCAACAGGUAGAGCAGGCAUUGCCUGACACGUCCGUUAAUGUGACUGACCUCGAUAUGUUGUUCUCGAAAAAUGUGAACCUUAGACCUGGAGAGCAGUAUGCGAUUGACGCCAUUCAACAACAGUUGUUGUCGGCAAUUCUUGGGUUUGGGGUGGCGACUUCGGCGUCGGGACUUGCUCCAUCUCUGUCUAUGGCCCAGUCGCAGCAGCAGCAACAAGAACAAUAAGUAGUAUCUUAGCGGUGUUCUGCGAUUUGGGGAUUCUGUAUGUGCUUAAAUUGUCAUCCCAGAUUAGCCUAUGCAGACUGCACAUACAUUAAGCCCUAUUAAAGUGUCAUCCCAGAUUAGCCUGUGCAGACUGCACAUACAUUAAGCCCUAUUAAAGUGUCAUCCCAUAUUAGUCUGUGCAGACUGCACAUACAUUAAGUCCUAUUAAAGUGUCAUCCCAGAUUAGCCUGUGCAGAUUGCACAUACAUCAAGUCCUAUUAAAGUGUCAUCCCAUAUUAGCCUGUACAGACUGCACAUACAUUAAGUCCUAUUAAAGUGUCAUCCCAGAUAAGCCUGUGCAGACUGCACAUACAUUAAGUCCUAUUAAAGUGUCAUCCCAGAUUAGCCUGUGCAGACUGCUCAUACAGUAAGUCCUAUUAAAGUGUCAUCCCAUAUUAGCCUGUACAGACUGCACAUACAUUAAGUCCUAUUAAAGUGUCAUCCCAUAUUAGCCUGUGCAGACUGCACAUACAUUAAGUCCUAUUAAAGUAUCAUCCCAUAUUAGCCUGUGCAGACUGCACAUACAUAAAAACCUAUUAAAGUGUCAUCCCAGAUUAGCCUGUGCAGACUGCACAUACAUUAAGCCGUAUUAAAGUGUCAUCCCAUAUUAGCCUGUGCAGACUGCUCAUACAUAAAAACCUAUUAAAGUGUCAUAUCAGAUUAGCCUGUGCAGACUGCACAUACAUUAAGUCCUAUUAAAGUGUCAUCCCAGAUAAGCCUGUGCAGACUGCACAUUCAUUUAGCCCUAUUUUCCCAGAAUGAGGCUUAUAUACUACACUUAACAUCAGUAUUUUAUGUGCCUGAAAAGUUCCUAGCAUCAAAUGGGAAUAAUGUGCUUUUACAUUGAUCACACUUAGUAAAUACAAUGCAAAUAGCACUUGAUCUGAUAUCAAUUUUAAUCAUAGAAGGUCAGGGCAUUAAGUUUUGUAUAUUUUCGACCGACAUUCAGCCCCUGAACCAAAAGUUAAUCCUUGCAUACAAAUCUGCUUUAAUAUAAUUUUUAAAUUAUAUUUAAUUUUAGUAAAAUAAUUACGUAAAAGCCUUCAGCUCAUUUUAUAAUUAUUUUCUUCAUGUAUUUUCAAUAUUUAUUUAAAUUCUUGGAUUUUGUUUUAAUAGCCUGUUCCUGCAGGAACCCAUGCAAUCAUAGAUCGGUACCUAGCUGAACAACAGGCUGUCUGGUCAGCUGGGCCCAGACGCCCAGUGACACUUUCUGGCCCAGGACCUUGGGGCAAAUGCUCAACUAGUCCUACCUGCAGGGUGGAGCCACUCUGAGCCUGGGGCUCCAUACUUUCUUGGCCAGCGGCCAAGAUUACCUUGUCAAUAAGGGACACAUUCCUGGGAUGCCCUAAGGUCUUUCUAUCUGUUCACAGAGGUCUUAUACUCAUAAGUUCAAGCCCAGUGAGCGAUGUUCACAUUAUCAAACUCUGCAUCUCAAUAGAAACCCGGAUAGCAAGGCGUUGAGUUUGUUCUUGAAGCAUUUGCACCAGAAGCAGUCAUCAUCUUGAUAUUCUGGAAUCUCAUGGUGAAGGACGACCUCAGUCUGUGAACAAAAUGCAGAGCUAACCUCAGAUGCCUUUUGACGAAAUCAAACCAUCCGAUCAGAAACACAGACUGUUGCAGCAGUUGUUACCAUAUUGACCGCAGUCAAACCUAAGAAGCUCAGAGAUAAAUACUGAUUUAGUUCUGCUAGUCUCUGCAUACCGCCUGGUUUGGUCAGCACUUACUCUGACUCUUUGAAUAUUAUGACGGAUGGAAAUGAAUGACCUUGUUCAGAUCGAAAUGGCAGAAUGACACAUCACAACAAUUCAAGUGGAAAGCCAGAAAGUCAUGUCAACAGCCACAUUUUGUAUGUCACCAGCCAAGUUGUAUUCAAAGACAAACAAUAGUUUAUGCUCUAUUGUGUAUGUGACCAGCCAAGUUGUAUUCAACAAAAAACAAUAGUUUACGUUUUAUUUUUUAUGUGACCUACCAAGUUGUUUGUAUAGGUCCCUGGUUUAGCAAAGCAUUUAAAGUAUUUUUAAAAGCACACAUAUUGCAUGUCAAUUCAAUGUCUUUGCCUGUAUUAUGAAACUUUCACUACAGAUGUUGAUCCUCAUGAUGGUAAAUAAAUGGGAAAUACAAU